This is a non-coding RNA of Cinara cedri, 377 nucleotides long. The record is from the annotation of a GenBank genome assembly. NCBI's taxonomy places the organism in Eukaryota, Metazoa, Arthropoda, Insecta, Hemiptera, Aphididae.
AAAAAAAAAUCAAGUAACAAAUUAUUACAAGGGAAUGGAAUUACACGGACAAUGAUUUGGAUACAUAGUAGACCCGAAUCAUCUAGUCGUUGUGGACUUUGUCUCUCGUAUAAAUCAAUUCGAUUACCGUUUUGUAAUAUUAUUACACAUUACGAUAUGAUAUUUCAAUCAUUGUUUAUGUAUAUUAUAAAUCUAUAGAAAUCGGAAGCGGACUCAACAAAGACGAAGCUGAGUGGGACGAAGAUGUAGGGUGAGACGAGCAGGAAACGUAGAUUUCGUCUCUAUAAAACAAUUCGGGCCCACGCAGUGUCUAUAUUGCCAGGACAUCCGGAAUUGAAAAUCGGAUAAAAAAAUUUAAUGAAGACUAUACAGUGUAC